This 1644-nucleotide long non-coding RNA is filed under the name Coturnix japonica (Japanese quail). RNAcentral describes it as "lncRNA (ENSCJPG00005000953.1)". Lineage: Eukaryota; Metazoa; Chordata; Aves; Galliformes; Phasianidae. The record is from RNAcentral.
GUCCUCCGGUGGCCCAUUUAUAACUAAAGUAUCUCCUGGUGUUUUAUGCCAUCUUGUUGUUAUCUUCAAGUAAUUCAGACUGCAGGGCCCAUCCAAGUCUCUGGAAGCCUCUGGAUCCCAUGGGGCUGUUUCUGCCCUGCCUGCUGUGCUGCAUUUGGGAGGGCUGAGUGAAGGAGAUGACUGUGCAGCCCCUUCCCAAAGCCAUUCCCUGUGCCCUGGCUUGUGUCUCUGAACAGUGGGAGAGGGCUCCUAAGCUCUGUCCCUACGCUGGAUCAACUCCAGCUCUUUCUCCAGCAAGCCCAUAACCCUUCCACACCUUGUUUUUCUUUCACUUGCAGGGAGUCUGGAUUCCCACCUUCGGCUCCUUUGACAUCAUCUCCAGAGAAAUCACGACUGCAAACGUGACUCUGCAGUGGCCCGUGUUUCAGCUGGCUACAAACCUCGUAGCCAUGCACGGCCUCCAGUCCCACGGGGAGUCCCUGCCAGCCUACAGGAAGCUGGAGCCCCUGAAGCGCAGCCAGGUGGCCGCAGAUGCCUCUCUGAGCUGGCACAUAGUGCAGGCUAGCAUCCAGAACACUGUGUUCCUGAUAUCCAGCUGCCUGAAAAUUGGGGAGAAAGUUGCCAUUGUCCUGAAGGACAUUGGAGUGAUCUUCAUUGAUGGAAUGACCUUCCAAAUGAAGUUCUACUAUGACUUCCUCCAGAAGCUGUCAGGGAAAGAGAACCUCAGAAAAGCUGUUCUCAAGGCCCCCUGGCUGAUGAAGAUGGUGAUGUCCCGGGUGGCACCAGUGGCCUCCCUGUCACCCUCUGGGCUGCCUCGUUGUCUUUCCAGAGUUUCAAAUGGAGUUGGUGCCCAAACCACCAUCCUUGCCACGCCGCAAGUCCUCAGGAAGCUUCCCUGCUGAGAGGAAACUUAAGGAAGGGGACACUUUGCCACCUCUUGCCCAGGGGCAAGAGAGGUAAAACAGCUUGCAACUUCUUUCCGCGGCACGGGCAACCAUCUUGAGAUGGGAAUUCCCUCGCUGGCCAUCAGCCAAAGGCAGUGACUUGCGUUGAGGCUUCACGCCAGCUGAGCGCAGCCUCAUCUCAUGAGGAACUGUAGGCCUUGCCAAAACUAAGAUGCUGUGUGUGAUGUGCUCCCAUCCCUGGCUGUGGCAGGAGGAUGUCGGGAUCUUAGGCCCUGCCCUCCCCCAGUGGAAGGACCCGGUCCCCAAAAGUCACCCUGUCAGCUCAUUAUCACCACCCAGCUCUGCUUUCCCAAAGACAACAUUGCUAACGCAGUCCCAGAACAGAGCUGAAUUGCGGAGAGGAGGAGUGGGGCCAGAGAUGGUUUCAGGGAGGCUCUGAGGGCAGUGCAGAUGGCAGCAGUGGGGGGAGCAGAGCGGCCCUCUUGGAUGUUUUGGCAACAGGCCGGAGCACCCCUUGUGAGUGAACCAAAGGGUUUACGAUGAAUCUCCUCUGUCUUCCUAAUUCCAGGGAGAUCUGCUGGACGGCCAACCUACGUCAGGUGCUUGAGCGCUACAAGUGUAGAUGGAGAGCACUUAAGGCGGAUAAGGUACCUCCUGCAGAAGGAGAGCUCUAAGUCCAGGUGAGGCCAGAGGCUCUGGGUUGGGAUGUGCAUGGGGGGUAGUUUACUGAGCCAACGAG